UUAAGCCACUUCAGUGACAUCACCAGAUACUUAACCCACUAGCCACACGGGAACUCCCAGUAUUUUAUUUCUUUAAAAAUAAAGAGACGGGACACAUAUGACAAUAUAUAAUAAUUACAAGCAAGUUUUUUAUGUCAUUUUCCCCCCUACCACCUUGUGUUUCUAAACAUUUCACAAGUUUAAAAAUGGUAGUCAUCACUUUAAAAGGUUUAAACGCAUUUUUGCUCUGUGCCAGAUACGAUUUAACUUACCCAGUAAUUUUUGGCUACAUGUGUUUUAACAUUUUAUGUUGACUUUGAAACAUCAAGUUUUACACUGACUUUGAAACAGAGAGUUUUAUGUUGACUUUUCAUCCCCUUGAGACAUGUCAUGAUAGUACUGUCCUUGAGCUCUUUUCUUAGACUGGAGGGCAUUCUCACCAAUUCCCCACCCAACCAUUGUCUCGCUUCCUUUCGGGACCUCCCAGACCCCUUUGAUUUCUCCCUCAUGGGAACGCCAGUAUUUUCACUCAUUUUAGCACAUUUUACCUGACUUUGAAUUUGACUCGCUUUCCAUGAAGAAUCAGCAAGCUCCUUGAGGCCCCAAGACCCUCUUAUGUUCAGUCUGGCAAAAGAGCUAGCAUUCCUCAUCCCAACCGCACUCCCGCAGCAGAUGUAACUAAUCUACCACAUUCUAUGCCCACUGCACUCCCAUAGCAGACAUAACUAAUCUACCACAUUCCUUUCUCCCAGUGAGCUUGGAAGUGACCUCAGAAUCCCCCCUCAGAGCGUCCAGGGCUGCGACAGCCAAUUGUAUAGAUUGGGCAUAGAUGAAACCUCUCUGCAUCCCUGCCUAGACUUCUUUUGUAGCUUCCAAAGUACCAGUGUUGUUCCCAGGGGAGACUCUGAAGGAACCAGCAUCAUCUUGAAAACCCAGAAAUGAUAAAAGUUUUAGCUGAUUGGACCUGGGAACCUCCAAGGCAGCCCUGUGGGAGCUGCAGAGGCCCUCAGGGGGCCCCAGAGGAAGACCCUGCCUGCUCAACGGGAGGGUGGCUCCAGAGUGACGCCAGGGGACCGAGUGUCAGCCGGGAAGGGACCAUAGGAAAACCCAUGAGUCAGCAGAAGCCUUGAGGCAGACAGAUGGAGAAGAUGGGGCGAGAGAAGCCGCUGCAGGUAAACAGGGACCUGGGUAAACUGAGUCAUGUGUCAGGCAGACACGUGCCAGGUGGGACCCAGCACGUGCCCACCUGCUUCUGAGGGAUCCAGAAUCAUCUCCCUGCUGCUGUGGGAUCCAGAACAAUCUUCCUGUUUUCCUUGAGGUUCCAUUGUCUUGAUACCUGGAGACCCUGUGUUCCUUUACUUCCAGGGUGUCUGGCCUGCCAAGAAUAACAUUUGUCUCUACCCCUCGCGAUUUGGAAAGGUUGAAACAAGACUUACCUUGCAGGAUCCUUAGGAAAAUUGAUCA
This 1443-nucleotide long non-coding RNA is filed under the name Sus scrofa (pig). RNAcentral's name for it is "lncRNA (ENSSSCG00025030720.1, ENSSSCG00030069955.1)". The record is from RNAcentral. Lineage: Eukaryota; Metazoa; Chordata; Mammalia; Artiodactyla; Suidae.